This 220-nucleotide ribosomal RNA is filed under the name uncultured fungus. RNAcentral describes it as "partial 18S ribosomal RNA". The stretch from base 75 to 220 matches the Rfam family "Eukaryotic small subunit ribosomal RNA", at positions 721 to 869 of the family's 1831-position model. The record is from RNAcentral. Lineage: Eukaryota; Fungi.
GGAUCAGUAGGUUGGUCGUGCCACUGGUACGCACUGGUCUCACUGGUUCCUCCCUCCUGAUGAACCGUAAUGCCAUUAAUUUGGUGUUGCGGGGAAACUGGACUGUUACUUUGAAAAAUUAGAGUGUUUAAAGCAGGCUAACGCUUGAAUACACUAGCAUGGAAUAAUGAAAUAGGACGCUCGAUCCUAUUUUGUUGGUUUCUAGGGUCUUAGUAAUGAU